RNAcentral lists this ribosomal RNA (488 nucleotides) under uncultured bacterium. Its description in RNAcentral is "partial 16S ribosomal RNA". It matches the Rfam family "Bacterial small subunit ribosomal RNA", at positions 29 to 507 of the family's 1533-position model. The record is from RNAcentral.
ACGAACGCUGGCGGCGUGCUUAACACAUGCAAGUCGAACGGUGAAGGGAUCAGCUUGCUGGUUCUGGAUGAGUGGCGAACGGGUGAGUAACACGUGAGUAACCUGCCCCCUUCUUCUGGAUAACCGCAUGAAAGUGUGGCUAAUACGGGAUAUUCUGCGCCUGCUGCAUGGUGGGUGUGGGAAAGAUAUUGUUUCGGUGGGGGAUGGGCUCGCGGCCUAUCAGCUUGUUGGUGGGGUGAUGGCCUACCAAGGCGGUGACGGGUAGCCGGCCUGAGAGGGUGGACGGUCACACUGGGACUGAGACACGGCCCAGACUCCUACGGGAGGCAGCAGUGGGGAAUAUGGCACAAGGGGCGCAAGCCUGAUGCAGCGACGCCGCGUGAGGGAUGGAGGCCUUCGGGUUGUGAACCUCUUUCGCCAGUGAAGCAGGCCUGUCCCUUGUGGGUGGGUUGACGGUAGCUGGAUAAGAAGCGCCGGCUAACUACGUG